Long non-coding RNA from Symphalangus syndactylus (siamang), 511 nucleotides. RefSeq lists it as uncharacterized. The record is from RefSeq and is a predicted model, not a curated record. Lineage: Eukaryota; Metazoa; Chordata; Mammalia; Primates; Hylobatidae.
UCACCGGCCCGGCUUAACGGUGCAACGGCCGGCCUGGGCCUGCAACUGUGGGGUCCCGGCCGGGCUGGAGCGGCCGCCGGAGAGACCUGGGUCUCGCCGUCACCCAUGCUGGAGUGCUGUGACGUGAUCUUGGCUCACUGCAACCUCUGCCUCCUGAGCUCAAGAACACACUGAUGGAAUCAGUCGCCGCCCUUACCUUUACGCACAGGAAAAAAUCGCCGCCGCUCUGUUCCCUGCAUCGCAGAGUCAGAAUGAGACAGCCGACUAAUGCCACUAAGAGUCACCAGGCGACGACACCACAGCCCUCCUCACGCCUUAAGGAGGUGAUGCUGGACAGCUGCCAGCCUCCCCAGGUGAAAACGAAGCUUUUUUUCCAACCCACCUAUAUGGGGCUUGUGCACGGUGGCCGAAAUUAACCCUCCUUGGUACCGUGUUAACAGUAUGGUUUAAAAGCUUGAGCUGUGCUUCUGCAUUAAGGAGUUGAACGACCCAAAUAAAGUUAUCUAACCUC